CAGGCCUAACCUCCCACCCGUGAAUACCUGACCAACGUUGCUUCGGCGGUGCGCCCCUCCGGGGGCAGCCGCCGGAGACCACACCGAACCUCUUGUUUAAGCCUGUUGUCUGAGCUUGAUAGCAAAUCUAUUAAAACUUUCAACAAUGGAUCUCUUGGUUCCGGCAUCGAUGAAGAACGCAGCGAACUGCGAUAAGUAAUGUGAAUUGCAGAAUUCAGUGAAUCAUCGAGUCUUUGAACGCACAUUGCGCCCCCUGGCAUUCCGGGGGGCAUGCCUGUCCGAGCGUCAUUGCUGCCCUUCAAGCCCGGCUUGUGUGUUGGGUCGUCGUCCCCCCCCGGGGGACGGGCCCGAAAGGCAGCGGCGGCACCGCGUCCUGGUCCUCGAGCGUAUGGGGCUUUGUCACCCGCUCGAUUAGGGCCGGCCGGGCGCCAGCCGACGUCUCCAACCUUUUAUUUUACCAGGUUGACCUCGGAUCAGGUAGGGAUA
This 486-nucleotide unclassified non-coding RNA is filed under the name Aspergillus granulosus. Its description in RNAcentral is "sequence contains ITS1, 5.8S rRNA gene, ITS2". The stretch from base 135 to 288 matches the Rfam family "5.8S ribosomal RNA". The record is from RNAcentral. Lineage: Eukaryota; Fungi; Ascomycota; Eurotiomycetes; Eurotiales; Aspergillaceae.